Pangasius djambal is the source of this 72-nucleotide non-coding RNA. The record is from the annotation of a GenBank genome assembly. NCBI's taxonomy places the organism in Eukaryota, Metazoa, Chordata, Actinopteri, Siluriformes, Pangasiidae.
CCCUGGGAGACUAGUGGUUAGGCCUCUGCACUCUCACCACCAUGGCCCGGGUUCAAUUCCCAGCACAAGGGG